UACGUAGGGGUCUAGCGUUGUCCGGAAUUAUUGGGCGUAAAGAGCUCGUAGGCGGUUCGGCAAGUCGGAUGUGAAAUCUCCACGCUUAACGUGGAGGGGCCAUUCGAAACUGCCGUGACUCGAGUCCGGUAGGGGAGUUCGGAAUUCCCGGUGUAGCGGUGAAAUGCGCAGAUAUCGGGAGGAACACCAGUGGCGAAGGCGGAACUCUGGGCCGGAACUGACGCUGAGGAGCGAAAGCGUGGGGAGCGAACAGGAUUAGAUACCCUGGUAGUCCACGCCGUAAACGUUGGGCACUAGGUGUGGGGCUCUAUCGACGGGUUCCGUGCCGUAGCUAACGCAUUAAGUGCCCCGCCUGGGGAGUACGGCCGCAAGGCUAAAACUCAAAG
This 386-nucleotide ribosomal RNA is filed under the name uncultured bacterium. Its description in RNAcentral is "bacterial SSU rRNA". It matches the Rfam family "Bacterial small subunit ribosomal RNA", at positions 524 to 906 of the family's 1533-position model. The record is from RNAcentral.